GAUGAACGCUGGCGGCGUGCCUAAUACAUGCAAGUCGAGCGAAUGGAUUAAGAGCUUGCUCUUAUGAAGUUAGCGGCGGACGGGUGAGUAACACGUGGGUAACCUGCCCAUAAGACUGGGAUAACUCCGGGAAACCGGGGCUAAUACCGGAUAACAUUUUGAACCGCAUGGUUCGAAAUUGAAAGGCGGCUUCGGCUGUCACUUAUGGAUGGACCCGCGUCGCAUUCGCUAGUUGGUGAGGUAACGGCUCACCAAGGCAACGAUGCGUAGCCGACCUGAGAGGGUGGUCGGCCACACUGUGACUGAGACACGGCCCAGACUCCUACGGGAGGCAGCAGUAGGGAAUCUUCCGCAAUGGACGAGAGUCUGACGGAGCAACGCCGCGUGAGUGAUGAAGGCUUUCGGGUCGUAAAACUCUGUUGUUAGGGAAGAACAAGUGCUAGUUGAAUAAGCUGGCACCUUGACGGUACCUAACCAGAAAGCCACGGCUAACUACGUGCCAGCCGCCGCGGUAA
Molecule: ribosomal RNA, 515 nt
Filed under: uncultured bacterium
Lineage: Bacteria
Description: partial 16S ribosomal RNA
Rfam family: Bacterial small subunit ribosomal RNA
Source: RNAcentral